CCUACGGGAGGCAGCAGUGAGGACUUUUGGGCAAUGGGCGCAAGCCUGACCCAGCCACGCCGCGUGUGUGAUGAAGGCCUUCGGGUCGUAAAGCACUGUGGGGAGAGAGGAAACAGCGCAUCAGGAAAUGGGUGCGCCUUGACGGUACCUCCUUAGCAAGCACCGGCUAACUCUGUGCCAGCAGCCGCGGUAAUACGGAGGGUGCAAGCGUUGUUCGGAUUUACUGGGCGUAAAGGGCGUGUAGGCGGACUGGCAAGUCGGUUGUGAAAUCCCUGGGCUCAACCUAGGAACUGCAUCCGAAACUGCUUGUCUUGAGUACGGGAGAGGGUGGUGGAAUUCCCGGUGUAGCGGUGAAAUUCGUAGAUAUCGGGAGGAACACCAGUGGCGAAGGCGGCCACCUGGACAGAUACUGACGCUGAAACACCAAAGCGUGGGGAGCAAACAGGAUUAAAUACCCCUGGUAG
This 464-nucleotide ribosomal RNA is filed under the name uncultured bacterium. Its description in RNAcentral is "bacterial SSU rRNA". It matches the Rfam family "Bacterial small subunit ribosomal RNA", at positions 338 to 793 of the family's 1533-position model. The record is from RNAcentral.